RNAcentral lists this ribosomal RNA (433 nucleotides) under uncultured bacterium. RNAcentral describes it as "bacterial SSU rRNA". It matches the Rfam family "Bacterial small subunit ribosomal RNA", at positions 29 to 506 of the family's 1533-position model. The record is from RNAcentral.
GCGAACGCUGGCGGCAGGCCUAACACAUGCAAGUCGAGCGGCCGUAGCAAUACGGCAGCGGCAGACGGGAUAGUAACACGUGGGAACGUGCCCUUUGGUUCGGAAUAACUCGGCGAAAGCCGUGCUAAUACCGGAUAAGCCCUUACGGGGAAAGAUUUAUCGCCAUUGGAGCGGCCCGCGUCUGAUUAGCUAGUUGGUGAGGUAAUGGCUCACCAAGGCGACGAUCAGUAGCUGGUCUGAGAGGAUGAUCAGCAUCACUGGGACUGAGACACGGCCCAGACUCCUACGGGAGGCAGCAGUGGGGAAUAUUGGACAAUGGGCGAAAGCCUGAUCCAGCAAUGCCGCGUGAGUGAUGAAGGCCUUAGGGUUGUAAAGCUCUUUUACCCGGGAUGAUAAUGACAGUACCGGGAGAAUAAGCCCCGGCUAACUCCGU